CCUACGGGAGGCAGCAGUGGGGAAUAUUGCGCAAUGGGCGAAAGCCUGACGCAGCGACGCCGCGUGAGGGAUGAAGGUCUUCUGAUCGUAAACCUCUGUCAGCAGGGAAGAACGGUCACUGUGCUUAUCAGCAGUGAAUUGACGGUACCUGCACAGGAAGCACCGGCUAACUCCGUGCCCGCAGCCGCGGUCAUACGGAGGGUGCGAGCGUUAAUCGGAAUUACUGGGCGUAAAGCGCUCGUAGGCGGUAUGGCAAGUCAAGGGUGAAAUCCCCGCGCUCAACGUGGGAACUGCCUUUGAAACUGGCAAACUGGAGUGUGUGAGAGGAUAGUGGAAUUCCAGGUGUAGGAGUGAAAUCCGUAGAUAUCUGGAGGAACAUCAGUGGCGAAGGCGACUAUCUGGAACAUAACUGACGCUGAGGAGCGAAAGCGUGGGUAGCAAACAGGAUUAGAUACCCGUGUAGUC
This 465-nucleotide ribosomal RNA is filed under the name uncultured bacterium. RNAcentral describes it as "partial 16S ribosomal RNA". It matches the Rfam family "Bacterial small subunit ribosomal RNA", at positions 338 to 795 of the family's 1533-position model. The record is from RNAcentral.